AACGUACGCUGGCGGCACGCUUAACACAUGCAAGUCGAACGAAGUAGCAAUACUUAGUGGCAGACGGGUGAGUAACAUGUGGGUAUCUGCCUUUUGGCCUGGAAUAACACGAGGAAACUUGUGCUAAUACCGGAUAAGUCUUUACGGAGAAAGCUUUAUGCACCAUUGGAUGAGCCCGCACUUGAUUAGUUUGUUGGUGGGGUAAUGGCCUACCAAGACUGUGAUCAAUAGCUGAUUUGAGAGGAUGAUCAGCCACAUUGGGACUGAGACACGGCCCAAACUCCUACGGGAGGCAGCAGUGGGGAAUCUUGCACAAUGGAGGAAACUCUGAUGCAGCGAUGCCGCGUGAGUGAAGAAGGCCCUUGGGUUGUAAAGCUCUUUCGUCGGGGAAGAAAAUGACUGUACCCGAAUAAGAAGGUCCGGCUAACUUCGUGCCAGCAGCCGCGGUAAUACGAAGGGACCUAGCGUAGUUCGGAAUUACUGGGCUUAAAGAGUUCGUAGGUGGUUGAAAAAGUUAGUGGUGAAAUCCCAGAGCUUAACUCUGGAGCUGCCAUUAAAACUUUUCAGCUAGAGUAUGAUAGAGGAAAGCAGAAUUUCUAGUGUAGAGGUGAAAUUCGUAGAUAUUAGAAAGAAUACCAAUUGCGAAGGCAGCUUUCUGGAUCAUUACUGACACUGAGGAACGAAAGCAUGGGUAGCGAAGAGGAUUAGAUACCCUCGUAGUCCAUGCCGUAAACGAUGUGUGUUAGACGUUGGAAAUUUAUUUUCAGUGUCGCAGCGAAAGCGAUAAACACACCGCCUGGGGAGUACGACCGCAAGGUUAAAACUCAAAUGAAUUGACGGGGACCCGCACAAGUAGUGGAGCAUGUGGUUUAAUUCGAAGAUACGCGCAGAACCUUACCAACACUUGACAUGUUCGUCGCGACUCUAAGAGAUUAGAGUUUUCGGUUCGGCCGGACGAAACACAGGUGCUGCAUGGCUGUCGUCAGCUCGUGUCGUGAGAUGUUGGGUUAAGUCCCGCAACGAGCGCAACCCUCACUUUUAGUUGCCAUCAUUUAGUUGGGCACUCUGAAAGAACUGCCAGUGAUAAGCUGGAGGAAGGUGGGGAUGACGUCAAGUCCUCAUGGCCCUUACGUGUUGGGCUACACACGUGCUACAAUGGUAUCUACAACAGGAAGCAAGACUGCGAGGUCAAGCAAAUCCUUAAAAGAUACCUCAGUUCGGAUUGCACUCUGCAACUCGAGUGCAUGAAGCUGGAAUUACUAGUAAUCGUGGAUCAGCGUGCCACGGUGAAUGCGUUCCCGGGUCU
RNAcentral lists this ribosomal RNA (1306 nucleotides) under uncultured bacterium. RNAcentral describes it as "bacterial SSU rRNA". It matches the Rfam family "Bacterial small subunit ribosomal RNA", at positions 28 to 1381 of the family's 1533-position model. The record is from RNAcentral.